CUACGGGAGGCUGCAGUAGGGAAUCUUAGACAAUGGGGGAAACCCUGAUCUAGCCAUGCCGCGUGAGUGAUGAAGGCCUUAGGGUUGUAAAGCUCUUUCGCUGGGGAAGAUAAUGACGGUACCCAGUAAAGAAACCCCGGCUAACUCCGUGCCAGCAGCCGCGGUAAUACGGAGGGGGUUAGCGUUGUUCGGAAUUACUGGGCGUAAAGCGCGCGUAGGCGGGCUAUUAAGGCAGGGGUGAAAUCCCGGGGCUCAACCCCGGAACUGCCUUUGAUACUGGUAGUCUUGAGUUCGAGAGAGGUGAGUGGAAUUCCGAGUGUAGAGGUGAAAUUCGUAGAUAUUCGGAGGAACAUCAGUGGCGAAGGCGACUCACUGGCUCGAUACUGACGCUGAGGUGCGAAAGUGUGGGGAGCAAACGGGAUUAGAUACCCGUGUAGUC
This 439-nucleotide ribosomal RNA is filed under the name uncultured bacterium. RNAcentral's name for it is "partial 16S ribosomal RNA". It matches the Rfam family "Bacterial small subunit ribosomal RNA", at positions 339 to 795 of the family's 1533-position model. The record is from RNAcentral.